GGCGCAAAAUAUCUCAAAUGGUGACUCGCACCACAACACCUGAAAUCUUGAUGACGAACGAACGCUUUGUUUUGAAAAUUUUCGCUUAGUGAAACCUUAUUAAGUUUUUCGAGUUUAUUUCGAUCGUAUAAAAUCAUUAAAAAUGCUUGGUUUACAAUACACCCCACGACACGGCAUUAUCGACUACGAUUGCUGGCCCAGUUCUAAAUAUGUAUCCAUUGAUAUUCCCGAUUAUAGAAUUACAAAGCCUCUUGACUAUUACGACAGCUGGCCUAGAUAUUGGCCUAUCUACUACCCUAUCAGAUCCUUCAGAACAUAUUUGAACAAUCUGCUCUUAAGAGACUUACGUUUGAGAGAGCAACAAUAUGUUCAUACCUACUGGUAAUAAAUAAUCCUGGAAAAUAUUUACCUGACUGAUAACGAUACGGAGAGAAAAUUAUUUUAUUUUGUUAUGCUUUAAUAUAUGUUUUAAUAAAUUGUAACUGAAUAAUAUAAUAUAUUUUGUUUAUUAAAAA
Molecule: long non-coding RNA, 515 nt
Organism: Sitophilus oryzae (rice weevil)
Lineage: Eukaryota; Metazoa; Arthropoda; Insecta; Coleoptera; Curculionidae
Exons: 3
Source: RefSeq, a predicted model, not a curated record